UUUGCCACCACAUACACCAGAUACACCUCCCAGGUGUCAGACCAGGUACUACCAGUCAAGAUAAAGAGGGCAGGUAGGGUGAGGAAGGUGUUAUCAUAAUCGCAAUUCCCCACGUGAAAAACCCAUCUCCAGAAUGGAAUGCAACCUGGCCUGAACAAAUAAAGGUGCUAAGUCGUAUUUUCACAACAAAGGGAUAUGUAUGAUUGAGAAGGGCAUGCCUGGAUCUAAGAUUUCUCUCUGACUUCACUCCUGUGGUACGUUGGUGGGGAAAAAAAACCCAGAAGCUUUCCUUUUGGCAAUUAUAGGGACAGAACUACCCAAGCUGUAUAGAAAUUUAUUCAUGUAUGCGACUACAGCGGCAAGAACGUUACUUGCCCCAAAAUGGAAAGAAUAAAAAAUGCCAGCAAAAGACGAAUGGAUACAAAAACUUACGGAAUACAGUGAAAUGGCAAAACUUACCAGAAGAAUAAGGAAUCAAGAUAACAAACUUUUUUUUUAAAAUAAAAGAAUGGAAAUGGUUCAUUGAAUAUUUACAACCAAACUGUAAACAGAUAAGAACAUUGGCAGGAUUGUUGUAAUAACCUGCAGUUUUAUAAGAGUAUAUAUUAAAAGUAGAUGAAUAAAUGUGUAAAUUAAUUUGGAUAUGAAUAAAAUAUUUUGAAAAAAAUUAAGGAACCGCAGAAGGAAGGGGAAGGAAGUCAAGUUUUGAAAUGUUCAAAUGAUUGUAAAAUUAUUGACAGGUAUAAAAUUGAAACUCAUUAAUAAAAUAAAAGAUAAAGAUAAACAUUAAGAAAAAAGACACCACUCCUAUGGUGUUUGUGAUGUUUUGAUGACACUGUGUGAAAUGUGUUAUGGGAAAAUGUGAGAAUUUAAAAAACUCAUGUGACCUUUGUUCAGGGCUCUGUCUUUUUUGCUUGCCUUAAAGGUUGGAACCUUUGUUGCAACAAAUAAAGAUCAGGCCUAUUGUCUGCUGAUUUGUUUUUCA
Molecule: long non-coding RNA, 985 nt
Organism: Podarcis raffonei (Aeolian wall lizard)
Lineage: Eukaryota; Metazoa; Chordata; Lepidosauria; Squamata; Lacertidae
Exons: 2
Source: RefSeq, a predicted model, not a curated record